This 496-nucleotide ribosomal RNA is filed under the name uncultured bacterium. RNAcentral describes it as "partial 16S ribosomal RNA". It matches the Rfam family "Bacterial small subunit ribosomal RNA", at positions 29 to 523 of the family's 1533-position model. The record is from RNAcentral.
AUUGAACGCUGGCGGCAUGCUUUACACAUGCAAGUCGAACGGCAGAGGGGGCAACCCCUUGAGAGUGGCGAACGGGUGAGUAAUGCAUCGGAACGUGCCCAGUCGUGGGGGAUAACGCAGCGAAAGCUGUGCUAAUACCGCAUACGAUCUCUGGAUGAAAGCGGGGGACCGAAAGGCCUCGCGCGAUUGGAGCGGCCGAUGUCGGAUUAGGUAGUUGGUGGGGUAAAGGCCUACCAAGCCAACGAUCUGUAGGUGGUCUGAGAGGACGACAAGCCACACUGGGACUGAGACACGGCCCAGACUCCUACGGGAGGCAGCAGUGGGGAAUUUUGGACAAUGGGCGCAAGCCUGAUCCAGCAAUGCCGCGUGCAGGAAGAAGGCCUUCGGGUUGUAAACUGCUUUUGUACGGAACGAAACGGUCUGGGUUAAUACCCUGGGCUAAUGACGGUACCGUAAGAAUAAGCACCGGCUAACUACGUGCCAGCCGCCGCAGUAA